UACGGAGGGUGCAAGCGUUAAUCGGAAUUACUGGGCGUAAAGCGCGCGUAGGUGGUCUGUUAAGUCGGAUGUGAAAGCCCCGGGCUCAACCUGGGAACUGCAUCCGAUACUGGCAGACUAGAGUGCGGGAGAGGGAGGUAGAAUUCCACGUGUAGCGGUGAAAUGCGUAGAUAUGUGGAGGAAUACCAGUGGCGAAGGCGGCCUCCUGGCUCGACACUGACACUGAGGUGCGAAAGCGUGGGGAGCAAACAGG
This 253-nucleotide ribosomal RNA is filed under the name uncultured bacterium. RNAcentral's name for it is "partial 16S ribosomal RNA". It matches the Rfam family "Bacterial small subunit ribosomal RNA", at positions 524 to 776 of the family's 1533-position model. The record is from RNAcentral.